RNAcentral lists this ribosomal RNA (253 nucleotides) under uncultured bacterium. Its description in RNAcentral is "partial 16S ribosomal RNA". It matches the Rfam family "Bacterial small subunit ribosomal RNA", at positions 524 to 776 of the family's 1533-position model. The record is from RNAcentral.
UACGUAGGGGGCAAGCGUUAUCCGGAUUUACUGGGUGUAAAGGGAGCGUAGACGGCAUAGCAAGUCUGAAGUGAAAGCCCGUGGCUCAACCGCGGAACUGCUUUGGAAACUGUUAAGCUGGAGUACUGGAGAGGCAAGCGGAGUUCCUAGUGUAGCGGUGAAAUGCGUAGAUAUUAGGAGGAACACCAGUGGCGAAGGCGGCUUGCUGGACAGAGACUGACGUUGAGGCUCGAAAGCGUGGGGAGCAAACAGG